This 449-nucleotide ribosomal RNA is filed under the name uncultured Leptolinea sp. Its description in RNAcentral is "bacterial SSU rRNA". It matches the Rfam family "Bacterial small subunit ribosomal RNA", at positions 916 to 1382 of the family's 1533-position model. The record is from RNAcentral. Lineage: Bacteria; Bacillati; Chloroflexota; Anaerolineae; Anaerolineales; Anaerolineaceae.
GGGACCCGCACAAGCAGCGGAGCGUGUGGUUUAAUUCGAUGCUACACGAAGAACCUUACCAGGGUUUGACAUGCAAGUGGUAGGAAACUGAAAGGGACGACCUUCGGGAGCUUGCACAGGUGCUGCAUGGCUGUCGUCAGCUCGUGUCGUGAGAUGUUCGGUUAAGUCCGCUAACGAGCGCAACCCUCACUGUGUGUUAUAUGUGUCACACGGGACUGCCGGUUUUAAGCCGGAGGAAGGUGGGGAUGACGUCAAGUCAGCAUGGCCUUUAUAUCCUGGGCUACACACACGCUACAAUGGUCAGUACAAUAGGUUGCCAAGCCGCGAGGUGGCGCCAAUCCAUAAAGUUGGUCUCAGUUCAGAUUGUAGGCUGCAACCCGCCUGCAUGAAGAUGGAGUUGCUAGUAACCGCAGGUCAGCUAUACUGCGGUGAAUACGUUCCCGGGGCUU